CUUAUCCUUUGUUGCCAGCGGUCCGGCCGGGAACUCAAAGGAGACUGCCAGUGAUAAACUGGAGGAAGGUGGGGAUGACGUCAAGUCAUCAUGGCCCUUACGACCAGGGCUACACACGUGCUACAAUGGCAUAUACAAAGAGAAGCGACCUCGCGAGAGCAAGCGGACCUCAUAAAGUAUGUCGUAGUCCGGAUUGGAGUCUGCAACUCGACUCCAUGAAGUCGGAAUCGCUAGUAAUCGUAGAUCAGAAUGCUACGGUGAAUACGUUCCCGGGCCUUGUACACACCGCCCGUCACACCAUGGGAGUGGGUUGCAAAAGAAGUAGGUAGCUUAACCUUCGGGAGGGCGCUUACCACUUUGUGAUUCAUGACUGGGGUGAAGUCGUAACAAGGUAACCGUAGGGGAACCUGCGGUUGGAUCACCUCCUUACCUUAAAGAA
RNAcentral lists this ribosomal RNA (439 nucleotides) under Klebsiella pneumoniae. RNAcentral's name for it is "bacterial SSU rRNA". It matches the Rfam family "Bacterial small subunit ribosomal RNA", at positions 1104 to 1533 of the family's 1533-position model. The record is from RNAcentral. Lineage: Bacteria; Pseudomonadati; Pseudomonadota; Gammaproteobacteria; Enterobacterales; Enterobacteriaceae.